UACAGAGGGUGCGAGCGUUGUCCGGAAUCACUGGGCGUAAAGGGCGCGUAGGUGACGCGACAAGUCAGUGGUGAAAGUUCGACGCUCAACGUCGAAUCGGCCACUGAUACUGUUGGGCUUGAGCACUGUAGAGGCUAAUGGAAUUCCGGGUGUAGCGGUGGAAUGCGUAGAGAUCCGGAAGAACACCGGUGGCGAAGGCAAUCCCCUGGACCGAUACUGACGCUGAGGCGCGAAAAGCGUGGGGAGCGAACAGG
RNAcentral lists this ribosomal RNA (254 nucleotides) under uncultured bacterium. Its description in RNAcentral is "partial 16S ribosomal RNA". It matches the Rfam family "Bacterial small subunit ribosomal RNA", at positions 524 to 776 of the family's 1533-position model. The record is from RNAcentral.